AUUCCCGAAGGACGUGGGUUCUAAUUCAACUUGAAAUAGAUGAUUAGGAGCCUCCCUAAUCCAUCUGAAUGUGGCACCUCCUUUUUGGAUAGGCGGCGGCGGAGGAAAUACCCCUGACGUGGAUUUCAGCGGAAAUAGGCAUCCCGCUGCCCAGGGCGCAGGUGAGCCCGAUGACCUUGGCCACAAACGUCUUAAAAGUCAAGUACUCCUUGAGGACCACCCCCCUCAGGAUGGUCUUCAUCUCUGGAAUGCCCGAGCCUGAGCCACCGCAACAUGCCAGGUGUUGCCAUGAUGGAAUGGAGGCAAAAGAGGAGUUGAAAGAAAGCAAUUACAGAGGAGCAGAAAAAAAGGUGCGCCUGCCUCACCCACGGCCUGCGGGGCCAGGAUCUGCGUGAAUCCUGCCGAGAACGUGAUGAGCACCACGGGGUAGCUGACCCAGGCGAUGUACUGCAGCAGCAGAUGAUUGUCCAGGCCGCUGUACAUCCACUUCUAAGGCGAUGGCGUAGUCCAUGACCCAACUGACCAGCGCCAUGAGCAGCCCCAGUAGGAUGAGGAAGAUCCAGUCCUCUCCCAGCCGCGAGAUCAGAAACUUCUGACAGCUGGAGGCGCAUGCUGGAAUGUGGACAG
Syngnathus typhle (broad-nosed pipefish) is the source of this 627-nucleotide long non-coding RNA. RefSeq lists it as uncharacterized. The transcript is spliced from 4 exons. The record is from RefSeq and is a predicted model, not a curated record. Lineage: Eukaryota; Metazoa; Chordata; Actinopteri; Syngnathiformes; Syngnathidae.